RNAcentral lists this ribosomal RNA (253 nucleotides) under uncultured bacterium. RNAcentral's name for it is "partial 16S ribosomal RNA". It matches the Rfam family "Bacterial small subunit ribosomal RNA", at positions 524 to 776 of the family's 1533-position model. The record is from RNAcentral.
UACGGGGGGGGCAAGCGUUGUUCGGAAUUACUGGGCGUAAAGGGCUCGUAGGCGGCCAACUAAGUCAGACGUGAAAUCCCUCGGCUUAACCGGGGAACUGCGUCUGAUACUGGAUGGCUUGAGUUCGGGAGAGGGAUGCGGAAUUCCAGGUGUAGCGGUGAAAUGCGUAGAUAUCUGGAGGAACACCGGUGGCGAAGGCGGCAUCCUGGACCGACACUGACGCUGAGGCGCGAAAGCGUGGGGAGCAAACAGG